UGGGGAAUAUUGGACAAUGGGCGAAAGCCUGAUCCAGCCAUGCCGCGUGAGUGACGAAGGCCUUAGGGUUGUAAAGCUCUUUUGGCGGGGACGAUAAUGACGGUACCCGCAGAAUAAGCCCCGGCUAACUUCGUGCCAGCAGCCGCGGUAAUACGAAGGGGGCUAGCGUUGUUCGGAAUCACUGGGCGUAAAGCGCACGUAGGCGGACUGGUCAGUUGGGGGUGAAAUCCCGGGGCUCAACCCCGGAACUGCCUUCAAUACUGCCAGUCUUGAGUCCGAGAGAGGUGAGUGGAAUUCCUAGUGUAGAGGUGAAAUUCGUAGAUAUUAGGAAGAACACCAGUGGCGAAGGCGGCUCACUGGCUCGGUACUGACGCUGAGGUGCGAAAGCGUGGGGAGCAAACAGGAUUAGAUACCCCCGUAGUCC
RNAcentral lists this ribosomal RNA (424 nucleotides) under uncultured prokaryote. RNAcentral's name for it is "bacterial SSU rRNA". It matches the Rfam family "Bacterial small subunit ribosomal RNA", at positions 355 to 796 of the family's 1533-position model. The record is from RNAcentral.